GACGAACGCUGGCGGCGUGCCUAAUGCAUGCAAGUCGCACGCGGCACCUUCGGUGGCUGAGUGGCGAACAGCUUAGUAACAGGGUGGGACCUGUGCGGGUAUGGGGGACGACACCUCGAAAGCGGUGCUAAUCCCGCAUAGGCUCUGAGUAGGAAAGCCGAAAGGCGGUCCCGGGUGGCACUGCGGCCCAUCAGGUUGUUGGGGGGGUAACGGCCUACCAAGCCAAUGACGGCUCGCUGGUCGGUUAGGACGAACAGCCCGACUGGGACUGGGACACGGCCCCGAAUCCUACGGGAGGCAGCAGCAAGGAAUUUUUGGAAAUGGGCGCAAGCCUGAACGCGCAACGCCGCGGGCAGGAAGACGGUAUUCGGGUUGUAAACUGCUUUUGCUAGGGAUGAUAAAAGACAGUACCUGGCGAAUAAGCCCCGGCUAACUCUGUG
RNAcentral lists this ribosomal RNA (440 nucleotides) under uncultured bacterium. Its description in RNAcentral is "partial 16S ribosomal RNA". It matches the Rfam family "Bacterial small subunit ribosomal RNA", at positions 28 to 507 of the family's 1533-position model. The record is from RNAcentral.